Long non-coding RNA from Branchiostoma floridae (Florida lancelet), 1582 nucleotides. RefSeq lists it as uncharacterized. NCBI's taxonomy places the organism in Eukaryota, Metazoa, Chordata, Leptocardii, Amphioxiformes, Branchiostomatidae. The transcript has 2 exons. The record is from RefSeq and is a predicted model, not a curated record.
CUCGGACAGCUGGGUCCCGGCUGUGGCAGGUGCAGCAGGUGCUGCAGCUGCUGUCGUCAUCAUCGCCAUAGCAACCGUCACGUGCCUGCGCCGUGUCAACCGCAAGAGAGGGCUCAAAGACGUUGAAGGGCGCAACAAUCUUGCUUUCGUGGGCACCACGGGCAAACCGGUGGAGACUGGCAACAGCGCCCCCUGUCGGGACUGUGACAGCAGCUUCUAAACACCGAGUUUACGGUUUUAUCAUUUUUGCCGCAGCCAAGUUAUGACUUUGCGAUUGCUUGUUUGCUUGCAUACUUGUUUGUUUGAUUGUUUGUUCGUUUGUUUAUGGACAAAGUAGUAUAUCAAAUAUCGCUUUUAAUAAUCAUUUUGCAUGUAGAAAAGGGCUGUCCCAACGUUUGGACAUUAUAUUUUGAGCCCAUUUCAGUUCGUUUAUCUUUUAAGAUGUAGAUGAGAUGUUGGACAAACACUGGAGAGAGACAGGGUGCGAGACCAAAGCGAAGGUUCCGAUGUGUUCAAUUCUAUCAUUUCGAUGUUGGGUGAUGCUAGGUUGUCAAGUCGAAUCUCAAGAAAGCUCAAGAAUUAUAUCUAAAUGUACAAUAUUCCGGUUUUCCAUUGCUUUUAGAAUUUAAAAUCUGUAACUUCCAAUGUGAUAGAAAUCAUACAUACCUAAAUUUUCCGUGAGCAAAGGAAUAGAUGCACUGUUAAUGUGACAUCAUGUUAUUGCACCUAUGGACAAGUUACUUUUGAAGUGUAUCAAAUGUACCGUAUAGCUUGUGGCGUCCCCCGUCACUUCUCAAUGACAUUGCGCUGGAAGCUACUAUGAAAGAUAAGUUUCAUAAUGAGUUCACACCAGAUGGACUUUCGUUUGAAAAUCAAAGGUUGGCACAAAGAAAGUGAAAAUUCAACCAAAAUAUGUAAACCGGGAACAGGCAGAGUUGCUGUUGUUGUUGUUUGUCCAGCAUCGAAUUAAGAAUGUGCGAUUUAUAAAGUUUUCAGUGUAUUGAUGUGUAUCAAUCCGUUGUGCGUUUAUAUCGAAUAUAUCUUAAAAUUUCUGUUCUUAAGAGACCUGUAGUUGGUACUGACUAGCUUUAGUGAAAUCUCACAUGUUGAUCUUGUCUAGCAUUUUGACAUGCUUUGAGAGUUUGACCUUUAAGAUAUUUGUAUGAGACUGGAGUUGUUGAUUAUUGUCAGGUAAAAUAUGCACUAAGAAUGCUGAACAUGCACGAUUCUUCAAGUCCAUUGACAGUUCCGGGAAUUUUCAACAUGUUGUUAGAUUUGUUUCGUUUGAAUGUUUUCACGAAAGCCUGAAAUUUCAACAGGGAGAAUCUACACUCUUUGUUGUGUACAAGGAAAUUCAACAUCUUAUACUGACUACCCUUUCGAAUCACCACCCUACUGUUCAGUGCAUCACGUUAUAUAUUUGUAACGUAUCUACAGCACAUUGCGUUGUGUACCGAAGCCUACCAUUACGAGACCAGGUGCAGGAAUGUUGAAUGUUGUAAACAGUACAGAACUUCAGCUCUUAUCAAAACAAACCAUGUAGUUGUCUUACUUGUUUUUUUCAUUAAAUACUUUCCGUGUG